RNAcentral lists this long non-coding RNA (536 nucleotides) under Rattus norvegicus (Norway rat). RNAcentral's name for it is "long non-coding RNA NONRATT032845". Lineage: Eukaryota; Metazoa; Chordata; Mammalia; Rodentia; Muridae. The record is from RNAcentral.
AUGGUCCACUGCUUAGCAGCAGUAGAGGAAUGUCCAGAUCUAACAAGUUGGGGAAAAUGCCAAGUCUACGGGAAACAGCUGAGUCCAACUGCUCUCCCACCAACCACCUGCCACUCUGAAGCACAAGGACAAACCCAGCACCUUGCUGUUGACUGGUAGAUCCCAGGCAGAUUUGGCUAUUGGUCUGGAUAGUCUUGCUGCUGUCCUGCCACCAGCGCUAGGAGAAGAUGACCAGAACCUGCUUCCUACAAACAUGCCCUGACAAGGAGCCUGUGCCUCCUACCCUACCUACAGUUUGUCCUUUAAGACAAAAUAAAUAGCUACUUACAAUGAACUUCUUUUGGGAAUACAUUUUCUAGCUUCAUCUUCAGUACCAACAACAACAAUGCCUAUUGAGAGCUAUAUUUUUAUCUUGAUCCUCCAGAGGAUCCAGCUAAGUGACCACAAGUUAUCAUCAUCAACCCCAAAGUUUCUGAUUCAGAAGUUAUACUUUUCCUGAAUAAACUUGUUCUCUGCUUCAGAACAAACUGGCCAAG